CCUCUUGCGAAACAGAUCUUUAGGCUCUAGCGGCUCACAUCCACGGUCCACCCACCCUAUCUCUGGCCACCGAAGCCCAUCCUCUCCCCCGCCGGCGAAACACUCCCACUGCCCCAGCCGAACACAGUCCCAAUCUCGACACCCAAAGGAGCACACCAACGCGAGAGGCCGGAUUGAGCCCAUCCCCUCCGCCAUGGUCAACGGCCCGCCGCCCAUGAUGGCACUGACGCCCCCCAAUUUCCCAUGCUAACGCGUGCGAGGCGGCGCCAUUGGAUCGAUGGCGCGCGUGCGCCCUAAUGGUAGGGCGGCGUGCAGGAGGUCCCCCUUCUCCUCUCUCCCCCUGCGCGCGCUGGAGCUUGAGCUGGGCGGGACGCUGAGCGGGAGUUCUUGCUGGCAGAGGAAGAAGACGUUCAGGUAGAAGGCGUGGACGUUGGGGAGUAGCUGUGUGGGAGGAGGGCGUCAACGGUGGGAUGGGUGCUGGCUGGCUGGUACUUGCUUUAUGAUAUGAAGAUAUGUAUGCUGCUGGUAGGUACUCGUGAACAUGGUGAAAAGGGAUCGGUGCUGCAGCGGUAGGCGUCUGGUGGCUAUGCAGUGGCAGCCGCUACUUAGAUACGUAGCCGGCAAUGGUGAGAAGACUUUGAUCUUGAUAUAUUAGAUGUAAGCCCCAUACACCAUAGGAGGACCGCCUUUUGGUGAUAUCAGCCGGAGAAGAGAUAGAGAGAAGCAAGUUACUGGUGUGGUUCAUUUGGGAAAUUCAGUACUUUGUUUAUACUGCUUUGCUUUAGGGGAUGAAGUAAAUAGAAGAAGAAAUUCCUGGGAUGGAUCUAUUGCCCGUUAUGCUGUCAUGAUGAUAAAAAAGAAGAAGAAGAUGAUUCUGAAUUACAUAAUAAUUCUGUAGGAUGAUAAAAAAGAAGAAGAAGAUGAUUCAGUUAUCAAGAGGAUGUCUGAACUCUGAACCUGAAGGACAGGAAAUAAAACAUGAGGAGGAUAAUGGAAGAGAAGAAGAAGCAGACAUUAAGAUAAUGAAAGAGAAUGAGUAGAUAAUGAGGAUGGUACUGAAAGAGAAGACGAGAUGCACCUUGGCUAAGUAAAGAGUUAGACCUGAAAUUGCCAAUAAAGGGAAUGAGGUCCCUUUCUCUAUAGAAUAUAGAAGGCAGCUUCGCAGAGGGGUCACUGACGAGCAAGAGAAAUAAGCCCUGGAGCAUGUUUCAAUGAAGACUACUGAUCUAGAAUUGCCGUAUGUUCAUGAACAAUUUUUUGUUGCUGAAAUAAGUCCUAGAGCAGGCUUCGGUGAGGACUACUGAUCUAGAAGCCAUAUGUUCAUGAACAAUUUUUUGUUGCUCUGACUGAACGGACUGUCUCUGUAAUUCUUGUCUGUUUGGGUGGUCCCCAGCUGCGACAAGAUGUCUUCUUGCUGAACAACGCCACAAUUGGAUAGUUGUAUGUUAUUUAGGAUUGCCUCUGUUGCAUACCACCUGGAGUUACAAGAGGUCCUGUACUAAUUUUGUGUAUGUAUCUGUUCUAUAUACACAUGAUUUCAAAGCAUCUUUUCCUAUA
Molecule: non-coding RNA, 1557 nt
Organism: Aegilops tauschii subsp. strangulata
Lineage: Eukaryota; Viridiplantae; Streptophyta; Magnoliopsida; Poales; Poaceae
Source: RefSeq, a predicted model, not a curated record